UAACUCUAGAGAUGUAAAGCCCUCAGAGGGACUGAGGCCAUUUCUUUUUUUACAGCAGAAUGGGGACCUACGGAUAAUUAUUAAGCUAUAUAAAACGAACUUAUAUUUCUUAGACACCUCUAGACGGAGAGAUGAGAUGAAGGAACUCACAGAGCCUGAUUGCUAUGAUUUUAGACGACCAUUACUUGACAAGCCGGGAGAACCCUGCAGUUCCUGACCUUUCAGGAAAUUACCGGAUGUGACGUAAAGUUGUAGAAUACAGUGAAAGUGAAUUUUGUACAACUUCUGAGAAGGGCUUCAAGAUGUCUUGUAGCUUCUGGGCUUGCAUUCUUGGAACAGUGAGACCACAUGGAGAGAGAGGUCAGACAAGAGUUAGCACCGAUCUCCAGAUGCAUGAGUGAAGCUGUUUUGGACCAUCCAGCCCCAGGAUAAAGCCACUCCAAAUCUGGAAAUGCAGAUGGUUUAUCAUUGAAGACAGUGAUCUUAGCUGAAGACGUACCACGGCAUAUCUGCUCCCAUUGCCAAGAGAAUCACGGUUGUGAGAUGCACCACGUGACUUCUGAAUCAUCAACUCUUACAUCUGAUUCCAUGUUCAUGAAGCAACCUCUGAUUAAGAUUUGGCUUCCUAAGUACACCUGCCUAGAGGGACUCAAGGGGCUGAUUAUACAGACUUUGAGUAUAUCCAAUUCUCAUAGAACUGUGCAGUAGCUUCUGAUUACAAUUUGGCAUCCUGUUUAUCUUGACUGCAUGAAGAAACUAAAUUGGUU
RNAcentral lists this long non-coding RNA (767 nucleotides) under Equus caballus (horse). RNAcentral describes it as "lncRNA (ENSECAG00000056221.1)". Lineage: Eukaryota; Metazoa; Chordata; Mammalia; Perissodactyla; Equidae. The record is from RNAcentral.